GCGGCCUAUCAGCUAGUUGGUGAGGUAGUGGCUCACCAAGGCGACGACGGGUAGCCGGCCUGAGAGGGCGACCGGCCACACUGGGACUGAGACACGGCCCAGACUCCUACGGGAGGCAGCAGUGGGGAAUAUUGCACAAUGGGCGAAAGCCUGAUGCAGCGACGCCGCGUGAGGGAUGACGGCCUUCGGGUUGUAAACCUCUUUCAGCAGGGAAGAAGCGAAAGUGACGGUACCUGCAGAAGAAGCGCCGGCUAACUACGUGCCAGCAGCCGCGGUAAUACGUAGGGCGCAAGCGUUGUCCGGAAUUAUUGGGCGUAAAGAGCUCGUAGGCGGCUUGUCACGUCGGUUGUGAAAGCCCGGGGCUUAACCCCGGGUCUGCAGUCGAUACGGGCAGGCUAGAGUUCGGUAGGGGAGAUCGGAAUUCCUGGUGUAGCGGUGAAAUGCGCAGAUAUCAGGAGGAACACCGGUGGCGAAGGCAGAUCUCUGGGCCGUAACUGACGCUGAGGAGCGAAAGGGUGGGGAGCAAACAGGCUUAGAUACCCUGAUAGUCCACCCCGUAAACGUUGGGAACUAGUUGUGGGGUCCAUUCCACGGAUUCCGUGACGCAGCUAACGCAUUAAGUUCCCCGCCUGGGGAGUACGGCCGCAAGGCUAAAACUCAAAGGAAUUGACGGGGACCCGCACAAGCGGCGGAGCAUGCGGAUUAAUUCGAUGCAACGCGAAGAACCUUACCAAGGCUUGACAUAUAGAGGAAACGUCUGGAAAC
RNAcentral lists this ribosomal RNA (765 nucleotides) under uncultured Actinomycetes bacterium. Its description in RNAcentral is "bacterial SSU rRNA". It matches the Rfam family "Bacterial small subunit ribosomal RNA", at positions 233 to 1007 of the family's 1533-position model. The record is from RNAcentral. Lineage: Bacteria; Bacillati; Actinomycetota; Actinomycetes.